RNAcentral lists this ribosomal RNA (323 nucleotides) under uncultured bacterium. Its description in RNAcentral is "bacterial SSU rRNA". It matches the Rfam family "Bacterial small subunit ribosomal RNA", at positions 28 to 334 of the family's 1533-position model. The record is from RNAcentral.
GACGAACGCUGGCGGCGUGCCUAAUACAUGCAAGUCGAACGCUUCUUUCUUAUCGAACUUCGGCUCACCAAGAAAGAAGAGUGGCGGACGGGUGAGUAACACGUGGGUAACCUGCCCUUUAGCGGGGGAUAACACUUGGAAACAGGUGCUAAUACCGCAUAAUCUUUUUCUCGCAUGAGAGAAAAGUGAAGACGCUUUUGUCGUCACUAGAGGGUGGACCCGCGCUGCAUUAGCUAGUUGGUGAGGUAAUGGCUCACCAAGGCCACGAUGCAUAGCCGACCUGAGAGGGUGAUCGGCCACACUGGGACUGAGACACGGCCCAG